RNAcentral lists this transfer RNA (71 nucleotides) under Hecataeus sp. BMNH 704468. RNAcentral describes it as "tRNA-Lys". The record is from RNAcentral. Lineage: Eukaryota; Metazoa; Arthropoda; Insecta; Coleoptera; Chrysomelidae.
CAUUAGAUGGCUGAAAGUAAGUAAUGGAAUUUUAAACCAUAUAAUAAUAUAGUAACGUAUAUUUCUAAUGA